CAAGGCUCCUAGUAACUGGAGACUCUAAGCUAUUUAACUUGUUUGUAAAUCUCACCUUGAUUUUUAAAGAAAAAAAUAGUUUAAAUAGCUUAACAGCAACUAAAAAUUUACGAUAAGCAAGAGGAGGAUCAAUGUUAUCCAUACAGAUGCGUGUCAUCACAAAUAUUCGUGAAUGUGAUACAGAAUAGGCAUUAAUAUUGUUGAUUUAUUAUUGUAUACAGCCGGAUGGUAUUACGAUAGCUGAUAGCAUUGAUGUGGACAUUCACGAUAUCAUGGUGCAUCAUUAAUCGUGACAGAUGACAUCAUUAUGGUAUCACGACCUCACUACACUCCGGUUAAUACCAUAUUACCGUUAACAUAAACAAAAUAUCGACCCGAACAUCUUUGAAAGGUUGAAAAUGGCUAAAUAUAAUAAAUGGUGAUGAUCCGCUUGAGUGGGUGUUUAAAAGUUGAAUUUUGAUGCUUUAGAAAGUAGUGAACAGUAAAAAUAUGAGUAGGAAGAUUUAAAUAAAUUGAAAU
Long non-coding RNA from Centruroides sculpturatus (bark scorpion), 519 nucleotides. RefSeq lists it as uncharacterized. The transcript has 3 exons. Lineage: Eukaryota; Metazoa; Arthropoda; Arachnida; Scorpiones; Buthidae. The record is from RefSeq and is a predicted model, not a curated record.